This 415-nucleotide long non-coding RNA is filed under the name Cyanistes caeruleus (blue tit). Its description in RNAcentral is "lncRNA (ENSCCEG00000012524.1)". Lineage: Eukaryota; Metazoa; Chordata; Aves; Passeriformes; Paridae. The record is from RNAcentral.
UUUAACGUUUUCUCUGUCCUUAUCUGCAGGAUCAGAUUUAAAAGUCUCCUCUGCAAUAGAAUUUACAGUCAUCGGAACUUCUGUGGAAGAGGGUAGUGUCCAAAGGCAGCAAGAACUUUUGAAAAAGGAAUGUUUUCACAGCGAUGUAAGAAAUAAAAACUAUCAAAAUCCAGAGGCAGAAUCACAGAAUCAUCAAGGUUCAAAGUGAUCUUCAAAUCUUCUAGCCAGCUGUCAGCCUAGCACCAGCAUAAUCACUCUUAAGCCAUAUGCCCAAGAUCUAUCCCUCUUGAACAUUUUGACAGACGGUGACUCACCACCUCCUUGAGCAACUUAUUCCAAUGCCUAGCCACUCUUUCAGUAAAAACCUUUCUAUGUGUUUAUACGUUAGAUAACCUGCCACCACUUGAGGCUGUGU